GAAGCUGCAAUAGUUCAAGGGCAAAAUUGGGAAGCUCUUGGCAGAAAAUAUGAAAGCCACAGGCUGAUGAUGUGUGCUGGAUUGUGCAAUGGAGUCCUGCCAACAUGUCUUCCAACCAUGAGAAGUCUUUCCAAGGAAAAUGACCCUGGCAACCAUAGAGAGUGAUCCUUGUUUGCACACCUGGUUGGGACAGCUUGAGUGAUGUUGGGGAGCAUGGACUUAUGGAAAGAAUGAAAUAAGAGGGGAAACACUUGUGAAAACUGGACAAAAGCUUUCUAAAACAUUCUGCCAUCUUAAGUUCUACCAAGGCCAGUGGGACAUCACUGAACCAAAAGCCAGCCCGUGGAGAAGUCCUGUGAUUCCCAGAAAUGGACCUGCCUUAGCACAAGCUAUGAUAUGUUCAGUCAUUGGCCUCAAUGCCAACUCAGAGCUCAGUGACUG
Mustela erminea (ermine) is the source of this 441-nucleotide long non-coding RNA. RefSeq lists it as uncharacterized. The record is from RefSeq and is a predicted model, not a curated record. The transcript is spliced from 3 exons. NCBI's taxonomy places the organism in Eukaryota, Metazoa, Chordata, Mammalia, Carnivora, Mustelidae.